CAAUGGUUUUUUAAAUUGCUGUAGUAUUUUGACUAUACAAAGGUAUUGAAAUAAGGUUUUAAUUGAAUGCUAAAAGAAUGGAAUAUCAAAGAAUAACUUUCUUAAAAUUAAAAAUUGAAAUUUUUUUAAUUUGUGUAAAAACAAUUAUAUAAAUUAAAGACAAGAAGACCCUAAGAAUGAUUAAAAUUUAAAUUAACACAUUUUUGUUUUAAUUAAAUUUUAACUGGGGCGGUUAAAAAAUAUUAAAAACUUUUUAAUUUUGAAAAUGACCCAUUAUUAAUGAAGAUAUGAUAAAACACUCUAGGGAUAAGAGCGUUAUAUUUUUUGAUAGAUCAUAUUGACAAAAAAGUUUGCGACCUCGAUGUUGGAUUAGGAUACUUUUUUAAUGAAGAUAUUAAAAUAAGAAGUUUGUUCAACUUUUAA
This 423-nucleotide ribosomal RNA is filed under the name Rhipicephalus microplus (southern cattle tick). Its description in RNAcentral is "partial large subunit ribosomal RNA". Lineage: Eukaryota; Metazoa; Arthropoda; Arachnida; Ixodida; Ixodidae. The record is from RNAcentral.